GACGAACGCUGGCGGCGUGCCUAACACAUGCAAGUCGAACGGAAAGGCCCUGCUUGCAGGGUACUCGAGUGGCGAACGGGUGAGUAACACGCGGGUGAUCUGCCCUGCACUUCGGGAUAAGCCUGGGAAACAGGGUCUAAUACCGGACAGGAGCCAUUUUGAGUGUGAUGGUUGGAAAGUUUUUUCGGUGUAGGAUGAGAUGGCGGCCUAUCAGCUUGUUGGUGGGGUAAUGGCCUACCAAGGCGGCGACGGGUAGCCGGCCAGGGAGGGUGGACGGCGACAUUGGGACUGAGGGACGGCCCAGACUCGUACGGGAGGCAACAGUGGGGAAUAUUGCACAAUGAGCGCAAGCCUGAUGCAGCGGCGCCGCGGGGGGGAUGACGGCCUUCGGGUUGUAAACUCCUUUCGCUAGGGACGAAGCUUUUUGUGACGGUACCUAAAUAGAAAGCACCGGCUAACUACGUG
RNAcentral lists this ribosomal RNA (465 nucleotides) under uncultured bacterium. RNAcentral's name for it is "partial 16S ribosomal RNA". It matches the Rfam family "Bacterial small subunit ribosomal RNA", at positions 28 to 507 of the family's 1533-position model. The record is from RNAcentral.